GUGACAUAAAAACAAAUAGCAUCAUAUUUUUAAAAAAAUACACAUGUACGGGUGCGCGGAUCAAAAUCUAGUAUUUAUUGAAACAACUCAAUAUGUUUAGAGGAUGACUGUUUGCAGUUUUUGGAUUGGUUUUUGGUUUUUGUUUUUCCCAAAACUAUUUUACAUCCAAUCAUGAUUUUGAAAAAAAUAGAUUCCCUAAAAUGUAGGAAAACUAGUUUUAUAAUAAGAAAGAUCGAGUUUAUAAUACUUGGCAAUAUUUCUUGGUUCUGUAAUGUAAAUACAUUUUCAACGUGAUCGGCCCGCCCUACCGGCGUAAUAUUUCUAUGUUAUUAUUUCUUAUAUAAUUUUGAAACGUGUGUUUCAGGUUCACAUUUGCACUUUGUAAUUCAGACGAAAAAAAAUCAAAACAAGAGAUGGCUACGGGGACUGUUUACUAGGAUUUUGAUGGAUUUACAAGGAUGGAAUCCGGGGGAUUUCCGAAAGGCUAAUUGGUGGGAGGAUUCUCAUUACGAAGAUUUUGGGAAAGGUUGGGAACAAAAGGAAUCGAGGAUCGAAAGGAGAGAUCUUAUGGAUCCUCGAGGGAAUCGCUGGAAAAAUGGAAGGUCUACGCUGGGAAGGUUUUGAAGCUUUUUGGUUCACGAAUUUAGGAUUCACGGGAUCAUACUGUUUCUUUUGGACAACGAGGUCGGGACAAGGACUCUAUUUUCUUCAGGUGUCUGUUAUAUGUGAUAAUCAGGUUAAACAAGAGUUGGUUUUUUAUUUCGUUAACCUACAUUAAGGGUUGGUCUUUCGGGUUU
Long non-coding RNA from Brassica napus (rape), 797 nucleotides. RefSeq lists it as uncharacterized. The record is from RefSeq and is a predicted model, not a curated record. The transcript is spliced from 2 exons. NCBI's taxonomy places the organism in Eukaryota, Viridiplantae, Streptophyta, Magnoliopsida, Brassicales, Brassicaceae.